UUCAGUGAAAUCGAGUAGGGCGGGACACGUGAUAUCCUGUCUGAAUAUGGGGGGACCAUCCUCCAAGGCUAAAUACUACUGACUGACCGAUAGUGAACCAGUACCGUGAGGGAAAGGCGAAAAGAACCCUUGUCCUGUGACUGCGUACCUUUUGUAUAAUGGGUCAGCGACUUAUAUUCAGUGGCAAGGUUAACCAUCUAGGGGAGCCGUAGGGAAACCGAGUCUUAACUGGGCGUUCAGUCUCUGGAUAUAGACCCGAAACCAGGUGAUCUAGCCAUGGGCAGGUUGAAGGUUGAGUAACAUCAACUGGAGGACCGAACCGACUAAUGUUGAAAAAUUAGCGGAUGACUUGUGGCUAGGGGUGAAAGGCCAAUCAAACCUGGAGAUAGCUGGUUCUCCCCGAAAGCUAUUUAGGUAGCGCCUCGGACGAAUACUACUGGGGGUAGAGCACUGUUAAGGCUAGGGGGUCAUCCCGACUUACCAACCCUUUGCAAACUCCGAAUACCAGUAAGUACUAUCCGGGAGACACACGGCGGGUGCUAACGUCCGUCGUGGAGAGGGAAACAACCCAGACCGCCAGCUAAGGUCCCAAAUUACUACUAAGUGGGAAACGAUGUGGGAAGGCUCAGACAGCCAGGAUGUUGGCUUAGAAGCAGCCAUCAUUUAAAGAAAGCGUAAUAGCUCACUGGUCGAGUCGGCCUGCGCGGAAGAUGUAACGGGGCUAAGUAGUAAACCGAAGCUGCGGCAAUAUACUUUUGUAUAUUGGGUAGGGGAGCGUUCUGUAAGCGGUUGAAGGUGUGUGGUAACGCAUGCUGGACGUAUCAGAAGUGCGAAUGCUGACAUGAGUAACGAUAAAGGGGGUGAAAAACCUCCUCGCCGGAAGACCAAGGGUUCCUGUCCAACGUUAAUCGGGGCAGGGUAAGUCGACCCCUAAGGCGAGGCCGAAAGGCGUAGUCGAUGGGAAACGGGUUAAUAUUCCCGUACUUCUUACAAUUGCGAUGGGGGGACGGAGAAGGCUAGGUGGGCCUGGCGACGGUUGUCCAGGUUCAAGUGCGUAGGCUUAAGAGUUAGGUAAAUCCGGCUCUUUCUAAGGCUGAGACACGACGUCGAGCUACUACGGUAGUGAAGUCAUUGAUGCCAUGCUUCCAGGAAAAGCCUCUAAGCUUCAGAUUGUAAGGAAUCGUACCCCAAACCGACACAGGUGGUCGGGUAGAGAAUACCAAGGCGCUUGA
This 1232-nucleotide ribosomal RNA is filed under the name Vibrio parahaemolyticus. RNAcentral's name for it is "partial 23S ribosomal RNA". It matches the Rfam family "Bacterial large subunit ribosomal RNA", at positions 398 to 1693 of the family's 2925-position model. Lineage: Bacteria; Pseudomonadati; Pseudomonadota; Gammaproteobacteria; Vibrionales; Vibrionaceae. The record is from RNAcentral.